This 507-nucleotide ribosomal RNA is filed under the name uncultured bacterium. Its description in RNAcentral is "bacterial SSU rRNA". It matches the Rfam family "Bacterial small subunit ribosomal RNA", at positions 29 to 507 of the family's 1533-position model. The record is from RNAcentral.
ACGAACGCUGGCGGCGUGCCUAAUACAUGCAAGUCGAGCGGAGUGAUGAAGAAGCUUGCUUCUUCUGAUUUUAGUCGGCGGACGGGUGAGUAACACGUGGGCAACCUACCUUGUAGAUUGGGAGUAACUCCGGGAAACCCGGGGACGUAAUACCGAUAAAUCCAUUUUGUCUUCAUGGCGAGAUGUUGAAAGAACGGUUUCGGUCUGUCACUACAAGAUGGGCCCGCGGCGCAUUAGCUAGUUGGUAGGGUAAUGGCCUACCAAGGCGACGAUGCGUAGCCGACCUGAGAGGGUGAUCGGCCACACUGGGACUGAGACACGGCCCAGACUCCUACGGGAGGCAGCAGUAGGGAAUCUUCCACAAUGGACGAAAGUCUGAUGGAGCGACGCCGCGUGAGUGAAGAAGGUUUUCGGAUCGUAAAACUCUGUUGUAAGGGAAGAACACGUACGAGAGUAACUGCUCGUACCUUGACGGUACCUUAUUAGAAAGCCACGGCUAACUACGUG